RNAcentral lists this small nuclear RNA (65 nucleotides) under Xenopus tropicalis (tropical clawed frog). RNAcentral's name for it is "Xenopus (Silurana) tropicalis (western clawed frog) U4 spliceosomal RNA". It matches the Rfam family "U4 spliceosomal RNA", at positions 1 to 65 of the family's 138-position model. Rfam says of the family: U4 small nuclear RNA (U4 snRNA) is a component of the major U2-dependent spliceosome. The structure of U4 snRNA from yeast and human has been reported. Lineage: Eukaryota; Metazoa; Chordata; Amphibia; Anura; Pipidae. The record is from Rfam by way of RNAcentral.
AGCUUUGCGCAGUGGCAGUAUCAUAGCCAAUGAGGUCCAACCGAAGCAUGAUUAUUGCUACUUGG